AAGAAGACAAAACCUGGGUUUUCGUGUCCAACGUUUGACUAUCUGUCUUAUAUGAAAUUUUUUAUAAUUAGUAUUUUCAUUGUUGUUAGAUGAUAAAAUAUGAUUAAUACUUUAUACGUGACUUGUCUUUUAAUUUUUUUUUCAUAAUUUUUUUAAAUAAGACAGACGGUCAAACAUUAAACACAAAAACCAUGGUU
Molecule: microRNA precursor, 197 nt
Organism: Oryza sativa Japonica Group (Japanese rice)
Lineage: Eukaryota; Viridiplantae; Streptophyta; Magnoliopsida; Poales; Poaceae
Rfam family: MIR812 microRNA precursor family
Source: Rfam